Vigna angularis (adzuki bean) is the source of this 1297-nucleotide long non-coding RNA. RefSeq lists it as uncharacterized. The record is from RefSeq and is a predicted model, not a curated record. NCBI's taxonomy places the organism in Eukaryota, Viridiplantae, Streptophyta, Magnoliopsida, Fabales, Fabaceae. The transcript has 5 exons.
AUAAAUGUUUACGUUUUUAAAGUUAUAUUUUUAGCGGUUUGUUAGUAAAAACAUCCUGUAACUGCUAAAAAAAUUCCCUCAAAUCCUUCUUGUUACCUCAGUUUCCAGUUUCCAUCUUGUCUGUUUUCACAGUCCAGGACCGUCUUUUCUCCACUGCAGUUUUUGACUUGCACUCCAUUUUCGCGAUUCGUUAGGGAGUGUACGACGGUAUCCUUCGUCGUUGGUCCCUCACCGGUUUUUAUGUGUCUGAUAGAGUUUGUUCCACCAUUGUGCAAAAGAAGCAAAAGAAGAGUCAUGUGCAAUUGUGCCUCUUGUGGAUCGAGGAAGCAAACACUUAGUGAAUGGGAAAAACAUACAGGUUGCAGAGCGAAAAGAUGGAAACAUAGUGUGAAAGUGAAAAGUACAAUGCUACCUCUGGAAAAAUGGUUGGUUGAACACAUUCCAUUAGAGGGAGUGUUAAGAAGUGGAAAGUUUAUGAAAGGAGGAAAAAGAAGAGUACCGAACGGUAAAGGACCAAACGGUAAGGGAGGAAGGUGUGAAGGACCGAACGGUAUCUACACUAAUAUCGAACGGUGUGAGGAAAGAGUGAAGGACUGAGCGGUAUCUACACUAAUACCGAAUGGUGGGAGGAAGGAGUGAAUGACCGAACGGUAUCUACACUAAUACCGAACGGUGGGAGGAAGGAGUGAAUGACCGAUCGAUAUCUACACUUUUGGUUACUUUGUGUGGUGUAGGUUCUCUUUGUGAGGUGAUCCAAUAUCUUAGAGGUAGCCUUCUAGGUGGUGGAGACCCAAAGGGAACUUGAAGUCUAGAGUGGUAGCCAAAAAGAAAGGAGAGAAACACUUUAGGAGGAAGCUUUGAUUUGUUUGUAAUUUUUUGGUUUUGUAAUCUUUUUUUUUUCUCUUGUAACUCACUGCCUUGUUAGGUGUCUUAGGGGAGUCUUUGGUGCCCAAUCCCAUCUCCUAACAAGAACCUUUAUUUCAUAGUAAUUUUCGUUUUUUUAGUUGGUUGGUUGGAGGAACCAAAGUUCUUCUAACGUAAUCAUUAGGUCGCAUAGCUAGUUUAUUUGCUUUCUUUAAUUAUGAUAGCUUAGUGUGUCAACUUUAAUUUCAACUUUAGUUCCCUUUGAGAAAUUUGGUUCAAGAGUGGCUAAGGUAAACUUUGGCUAGGAAAGGUUUGGUAUUUAAGAAAUCCAUUGUGAUUCACCUCCCUUUCCUAGAAGUGAACUUGGGUGUCUUUUGCCUCCUUAAGAGUCUUAAGGAACUUUCUUUGAAAUUUAAGUAUUUGUUUGUUGCAA